This 7209-nucleotide long non-coding RNA is filed under the name Pelobates cultripes (western spadefoot toad). Lineage: Eukaryota; Metazoa; Chordata; Amphibia; Anura; Pelobatidae. The record is from RNAcentral.
GGGAACUAACGUUACCGAAUGUGGCAGCUAGGUAAAGCAAAUAUGACGUCCUCUUUUGUUUCCUGUAGACUCCAGGCCUCAGCUACUUCAGAUCUGUGUUUGAUUAAGCAGUCAGUAAAAAUGUGAGUGACAGAAGGGGAAGGAGUGGGUGGAUGUAACAUGGACACAUCAAGGGCUGGGUUGAGUUGACAUGAGCAAUAGUUGUUGGGUUUGACAUUGGAUGUGGAGUGGUGUGUUUAAUUGACAUGGAUAACAGAUAGAGAUAGUUGUAUGUGACACCGUGAAGGAAUAAGGGUUGCUAUAAUGGGCACAAGGAAGGGAUGAAGGUGAAUUAAUGUGACAUGGAGAGGAAAAGUGGUUGUUAGAUGUGAGUGGAAAGAAUUUCUUAGAUGUAAAAGGAGAGGAAACAGGAUAUAAGUCAGAUGGCAAGAAGGUUUUAAGCCUAGAUUGUAGUUUAAGAUUUGUGAGUCUUUUUUUAAACUUGUUAAUAUCAUACAAACCUAUAAUAAUGAUAUUAUAAAACUUGGCACCAGCUACAUUAGAAAAAAAUAUAAUAUUAUAAAGGAAUAUAGUAAUAUAACUAAAAUGCCAGGGUGAAGACAGUGAUGAUCGUAACUUGAUACAUCUGAUCUUUUAUGCUUUGGCAAAAUGAGUAAAAAAAAUUAAAUACUUUAGAUCAUAUGACACAUUAUUACAUAUAAAUCAAACGCUGAAACUGUAACAAAAUAUAUCUUACAAAGACUUAGUCAUCAGCGAAAUAACAGAUUUAUCACAUGAACGAUAGUAAUGGUAUCUGGUCUUCUAAUUAGGAAGGUGGUAAGUUUAGAAAAGAAUGUACAUCGAUAGCAAAUAAAAAAAAGAUUAUAAAAAAAAAAAAAAAUUGUCAUAAAUAUUUUCUUUUACCAUAAUUAAAAAAACAAACUUGCUAAAACAAUAUUUGUUGUGAAUUAAAAAAGAUUUACAGUAAAACUACAGGCUUGAGCAAUUUUAAAAAUGUAGCUAAUUUAGUUUAGCAAAUUUGACAAAACAAUAUUAAAUGUAGUUUUCUGUUUGGUGUAACUUUACUGCGUUGUACAAUUGAUGAGUUAUUGCCGUAGUGUACAGGAUCAGUUAUAUAAAAAUGCCUAUUUGUUCCAGGUAUAUGUUUAUUCAUAAGCUUUACUCUUUAUGGAUUAUUUUCUUACUAUAGAAUUAUGAUGAAAUGAGGAAGAAAAAUAAUUUAGACCAAAGUAACUCAGUUAUAAAAAUCAGCUAUUGUUCCAAAUUGAAAAAGUUGACUUUUAGUUCUCCCGUCCCUUGUCAGUGUUCCAUAUUUCACUGUUUAGUUAAUAUAUUCUAACAUGUUUAAUGUGGAUUUUCACCCUAUUGUUCAUCACCAUCUCUGUCUUAAAUGUAUUACAGUGGCUCUGUCAUUAACCCCAGCAAAAAAAAGUAUUUUGGAAAGAUAAAAUAUUUAUGAAAUACUCACAUUGACUGUUUUGGAAAUUCCCUGAAAUUCCAACCCAGGUAAAAGAUAUUAUGAAACAAAGUUGAGAUUAUUUUGUAUUAUGUAUUUUUCCCACGCUUAACAAAGCUUGACAAAAAGGAAGCGUUAUCGCUGUCAAGCGUUGUCAAGCUCUCACCCGUCCCUAGUGAAGGCUGCGGGGGGUGGGGUGGAUGGUUUUGAUUGUGGGGGCUCUCAUGGUCCCACACGACACUACUUAUAAAUCAGUGAUGUACUCUUGCGCAUGCAUGUGCACUGAUGUUGAUUCCUGGCAGAUGAAGCAGUUGGAGCUGAAGAGAAGAGCAGAUGUCAGGCUAGUGGCAAAGUCGCCAUUGGGGGAUUUGUACAAUAUGCAAAAAUCAUAGAAGACAACAGAGUAACUUUAAAGGUAAACUAUAGGCUAGGACUACAAAAUUGUAUUUCUAUAGUGCCCCCCUUGCUUGUCCCCUCCACCCCCUCAGCAUAGAAAAGGUUAAAACCUCUUCUGUCACUUACCUGAAUCCAGUGCCAAUGUCCCUUGGCACUGGGCCAGGCUCCGCCUCCUCUCCUCCUCCACGACAUCGGACACCUAACGCACAUGUGCGGUGAUUGCCGUGAUCGCAUUAGGACAGCCCCAUAAGAAAGCAUUAAAUCAAUGCGGGCUCUAUCUGACACUGGAUGUUGCCUAAUGAUCCAGGUAGACAGCCACGUGGGGUGGCGUUUAUCAAUAACUGCAAUAAUCACCAUUGCAGGGUUAAACUGACAGGGGCACUGCACCCAGACCUCUUCAAUGAGCUGAAGGGGUCUGGGUGCAGAUAGUGUCCCUUUAAACUCCUGUUUCUUUUCACAGAUAUUUGAUUUUUAGUAUAUUCGUAAUAUAUUUUGUACCGUCCCUGAAAUUAGUAACUCUUUAUGUGCUAUGUGAUUUAUCAUAAAUGCUAAUUUGAUUAAGUUGGUCUCAUUAGUGGAUUGCUGACAUUGAGAAAAAUCACUGAAAAUAUGGGAUCUAACUCUAAUUGAAAGCACUUUCCUGAAUACUCUUCGGCCACUGUAUACUGUAAGAGUCUAUUAAUUUUUUUACGGAUAUUGUAAAGGUUAAAGCAGUGGCACCAUCACAUUUAGAGAGGAUAGGGAAUUGUGGAGAAUAAAAUCCAUAAAAUGUACAUCACAGAAAACUGAAUAUAACCCAAGUAAUAUAACGCGAGAUAAAAGGCCGUCAGUUCAAUCUAAUACACACUCUUUUUUAUGGUAUGUGCAUUUCAAAUUCCUUAAAACCUCUUAUAGUAUAAGAUGUCUGGAUAAGGAUCUUUUGAUGUGGCUACUUGUAAUUGUGGAUGCAUUCCAUGUUAUAAUUAGUCAAAUUGCAACGUAUUAAGUUGUUCUAGUCACUCAGUGUGGAAACCCAUGCUCAUUAUCUUUACAAAGAUCACAAUGCAAUCUAAUGAGACUCACAUCUCAGAGCACUUGGUUUUAAAGGGGAAUUAGCUGCCCAUCCUUUAAUCAUCAAGACUCCAAUUUGUAUGUAAGGUACAUGCUAGAUAUGCUGAUUCAGAUAUCAGAAUUCCUACCAAUAGUCUAUGUCUUGAGAUACUCUCAGAUUAAAGUAUGUACAAGUUAACAAAUAUCACUACUUCAUGAAGUCCAUAGAUCUAAACUCCCCACAAAUGAUCAGAUCUUUAGUAACACAGUAACACAGAUAAUUACUUGUGUGUUCUAUAAAUCAGUGGUAUUAUUUUGAACAAACAAUGCCACAAUUUACUAGAAACCAGCGUAACACACUUCCCACCAAACCACAUUAUUCCCAGAAACACAAGCUCCAUCACCCACAGUAUGUCACCUCAUGCAUUCCACCUAACCAUACUAGGUUAAAAACCAACCUCCAUAUGCUCCAAUAAUACAAGGCAUUCUUGUACCUUGACUACCUACAGAUUGUAAUAAACACUCACUGGAACCAAUGAGUUAAGGCGCUUGGUGAGGCAGACAUAUUAAUUGCGUUUGGAUAAUACUAAUUCAGUAAAGCAAUAAAGCAUUAGUAAAAUGUAGAAUUAAAAUGUGUGCAGUGUUUGUUCUGACUGAGUAGCUCUAAAGAGAUGUGUAUUAAAAAUGUAACAUAGGAAACAUGGAAUGACAGUUCAUAAGAUUCAAUCCAAAUCACACGUUAGAAUAUGAAAAACUGAAUCCGGAAAAGAGAAAAUAUAUCCAUAGAAUUCACAUUAAACAACAUACAGAGUAAACUUCAAUUUGUAAAAUGGGCAGUGGUGGCUGGUUAAGUUUAAAUAUGGUGGCGUGCUGCUUCAUCCCCAAUUUGUUGGGUUCUACCCACCUAACCCCAUGAGAUGCCAUGCACUGUUCAAAGUCAGUUGCAUCUCCAAUCAUCAAUACAGGGGAGAAAGGAAACUGCAGAGAUAAUUAUGAUGGGGACUGAGGUUAGUUUGGGGGGUGGCCACAGCAGAGUGAAGAACAGAGUUAUAGGUGUCAAAGAGAUGUCUAGGAUAACGGAAGAAUGAACUAAUGAGAGAGGAAAAGUAUGACUGUUUGGCGAGGGCAAGUACUGCGCUGUAUGAACACAAUAUGAAUCUAUAAUGGAGAGAGUCUGCUUGGGUGCAAGACUUCCUCCAGGAGUGUUCAGCACAACGGGAGCAUCUUUGCAGGUAGUGUGUGUGUUUAGUAUGCCACGGUUGGGGGUGUGUCCUCGUUUGGAGUGGGACUGCAACGUUCAAGGCAGAGGUGAGGGUAGUAUUAUAUGUGGAGAUGGCCAGUGAGGGACAGGAGAGGGAAGGGAUGGAUAGCAAUUGUGAAUCAACAUCAGCUGACAGCUGCUGGAGGUCAAUACAAUUAAGGUUCCUCCUGAGUUGAGGGUGGUUAGGCUGAGGUUGUUGAGUGAGGGGGUACUUGAGAGCAAACGAUAAGAGGUGGUGAUCAGAGAGAGGAAAUGGAGUGUUGCAGAUAUUCGAUACUGUACAUGCAUAAAAGUAUAAUAUUAGUAUGAUAUUUUAUUACAUCUCCAAAUAAGGUCAAGGGUAUUGCCAGCUACAUGGGUGGGAGAAUUAGCCCACUGCGAUAGCCCGAUGGAAGAAGUAACUGAAAGUAGCUUAGUGGCUGCUGAGGUCAAAGGUGGGUUAAUGGGAAUACUGAAGUCCCCGAGAAUUAGGGAUGGAAUAUUAGAAGAGAGGAAGUAGGGAAGCCAGGCAGCAAAGUGGUCAAGAAAGAGUAGAGGGGAACCAGGGGGAUGAUAAAUAAUGGCAAUGUUAGCAGAGAAGGGUUUGAAAAGAUGAAUCGAAUGAAUUUCAAAUGAUGGGAAAGAGAGAUAAGGCGGGGUGGGUAAAGGUUUCAAGGAUCAGUGAGGUGAGAGGAGAAACCCUACACCACCACCUUUACAUUCAGAGUGUCUUGUGCUGUGGGUACAUUGAAGACCACCAAAAGAUGCAGGGGCAGCAGUGUCAGAGGGGAGAGCCAUGUUUCUGUUAAGGCUAGUAAGUCUAGGGGACGAUGAAGAAGUCAUGGACAGCAGUGGAUUUUGUAAUAUUACUAAUAGAGCGUGCAUUCCAGAGGGCAGUAUUGAAGGAUGAUCAGAAGUAAGAUCAGGAUGGGGGAUAUAAUAGUUAUCAAUUAAGUAGUGAGAAUAUAGGGAUUGAGGUGGAAUAGAACACCAUUUUAAAUUAAGAGAUAAAGGGAAACAAUAAGUAAUUCUUGAAUAGAUCUUUCAUAGAUGAUACCUCUGCUUUGACUUUUCUGCAGGGCUUGGUUGCUUGAUAAUUGAUGCCGUUAUUAGGGGCUCAGUCUCUGCUUAGACUUUUUCUCAGGGCUUUGUUGAUUGUGAGUACUGGGUGUUGAUAAUCAAUGCUGUUAUUAGGGGCCCAGUCUCUGCUUAGGCUUUUCUGCAGGACCUGGUUGCUUGAAGAAUAUGACUUUUCUAUUCUGUUUUAGAUGUUUCUGAUACUCAUUUCCCUCAAAAGGUUAUUUAUUUAAAUUAUCUAUGUAUACAUGGAGCAAUUUCCAUAUAGUGAAUUAUUUUGUUUGUUUUUUAGAGAAGCAGUGUUCUUUCAGCUAACAUUAGACUGGGAUUGAUGUGAAUGUCAAUGAUGACAUAUGUAAAAGUUCUGUAUCUUUAUGGUAAAUAAACUAUAAAUAGCAAUAAAAUGAUUUGUGUUAUAAAAACAGAGCAAAGUAUAUAAAUAAUAGAAUACAGUAUGAAGUGCACUGCUAAGAUAACCCAGCUGACGCGUUUUAUAUCUCCGAGGGCCACUUCAUCAAGGGAUGUCAGUGAAACAGAUGAUGGAGUCUUUAAGGAGUAGCAUGACCAAUGAUUAAUUAACCUAGUAAGUGAACCAUUUGGGAUCUAAUUGAAAUGAAAAUGUAAAGAAUGAACUCACUCUUGGACAUCCGAUACACUGUAGCUAGUGUUACAUUAUCAUAAACGUAGAAUGCACUGAAAAGUAUGUGACAAUGCAAUAGUAAACGCUAUACAAAUUAAAUCGUAAGAUUACCCUACAAUGAUAAUAAUUGGAAUUGUAUCAUAACAAAAAGAAAGGCACUCUAAAAUUAACAAGGUUAUGUUCAUGUGUAUUGUUCAUUAAAUAUAAGCAAAAACCUUUGUUUUUGUAAUUGUUGAGGCUACCUAGUUGACGAUGGGAGUGAACCUUUUGAACAUGUGUAUAUAUUAAUAAUAACUGUCAACAAUUUUAUUAGCAGGUUUUGCAAAUCAACUCUGCGCUUCCAAAAUAUUAUAUAAUAUUAAAUAAUAUAAACUUUGCAAAAUAUUGAGUUCCUAGAUGCUAUGUUGUCUGUAAAUCAUUCAAAACUCGUUCUUUAGAUUUUUUGGAUUUUAAAUAAACUAUUGGGUUAAGCAUGAAUAAAUAAGAAAAAAAGAAAGAUGAGUGCAAAAGUUAUCGUUUUAAUGUCAAGUGGUUUAUAUACAAGAAGAAAUUAUCAAGAGAAAUCAAUAGACUGUUUCUGCUGAAUUUUUAUUUGGAGUUUCCCCCGGAAUAGUUUUUAAUUUUGCCUUGCUACAACAUGCUCAUUGAUCUUUUUUAUAUUUUUUUUUCUAGGUCAACGAAAGCAGAAGGCAAAUGAAGGCAAAUGAGAUAUAUAUCCCAUUUUAUAUAUCUUUUAUUAUUCUGGCCAAAAUAUACUUAUGCAGGUUUUUAAACACACACAAAUCGUUUCUGAGCAUAUAACGAGGUGUGUUUAAAAAUGUGUAUGGGCUAUAAGAACUUGUUUAAAAAAAAAUGUUUACUAGAUAUGUAUUCAAAACUGUAUUUCAUUUUACUGCCACUUACAUUAAAUUGUACACAAACAACCUAUAUAGAGAAUUUAGUUAUCAGUCCACAUAACACAUAUUCCUUCCCAUGGGAUGUGUGGGGGAUAAAUUAUCUAAUUCGUCUAAGGAUGUUUUGCUUAUUAUCAUUAGUCUUCUAUAUAUAGAAAGUCCUGAUUUAGGUGAACACAUAUUUACUAGACUUGAAAAAGACCUAUUCACCAAAAAAUUUUAAUAGACUUGUAUUUAAUUAUUAUUAAUAUUAUUUUAUUAUUAUUUUAUUAUUUAUUUAGCGCCAGCAAACUCAAAGAGAACUGCCAGGUAGAGUUGAUGGUGGCGCCAUUGACUUGGAGGGAGACAGACUUGGGUGUUGCAACAGGACAAUGACCCAAAGCAUAGAAGUAAAUCAACAACAGAAUGGCUUAAACAGAAGAAAAUACGCCUUCCGAAGUGGCCCAGUCAGAGUCCUGACCUCAAUCCGAUUGAGAUG